Tetrahymena thermophila SB210 is the source of this 190-nucleotide small nuclear RNA. It matches the Rfam family "U2 spliceosomal RNA". From Rfam's summary of the family: U2 is a small nuclear RNA (snRNA) component of the spliceosome (involved in pre-mRNA splicing). The record is from Rfam. NCBI's taxonomy places the organism in Eukaryota, Ciliophora, Oligohymenophorea, Hymenostomatida, Tetrahymenidae.
UGUCCUUCUCGGCGUAAAAGCUGAGAUCGAUUGUAGUAUCUGUUCUUAUCAGUGUGAAAACUGAUAGUGUCUCAUCCACAAGAGACAUUUUCACAUUAAUUUCUCUAUGGGGUUGGAUAAACUAGUGGCUAGCCCUAGUCCCAACAAAGUUGUGUUUGGUUUGCACUCUACCAAAAUUCAGCUAUCCCAU